UCCCUGGUGGCUCAAAGAUUAGAGCAUCUGUCUCCAAUGCAGGAGACCCAGGUUCGAUCCCUUGGUCGGGAA
RNAcentral lists this transfer RNA (72 nucleotides) under Ovis aries (sheep). It matches the Rfam family "tRNA". Rfam says of the family: Transfer RNA (tRNA) molecules are approximately 80 nucleotides in length. Their secondary structure includes four short double-helical elements and three loops (D, anti-codon, and T loops). Further hydrogen bonds mediate the characteristic L-shaped molecular structure. tRNAs have two regions of fundamental functional importance: the anti-codon, which is responsible for specific mRNA codon recognition, and the 3' end, to which the tRNAs corresponding amino acid is attached (by aminoacyl-tRNA synthetases). tRNAs cope with the degeneracy of the genetic code in two manners: having more than one tRNA (with a specific anti-codon) for a particular amino acid; and 'wobble' base-pairing, i.e. permitting non-standard base-pairing at the 3rd anti-codon position. Lineage: Eukaryota; Metazoa; Chordata; Mammalia; Artiodactyla; Bovidae. The record is from Rfam by way of RNAcentral.